Non-coding RNA from Brachypodium distachyon (stiff brome), 78 nucleotides. Lineage: Eukaryota; Viridiplantae; Streptophyta; Magnoliopsida; Poales; Poaceae. The record is from RefSeq and is marked provisional.
UUUCUUGUAAUGCCCGGUCUUCUUGCAGUGGAGGCAUGUAUCUUUAUCCACUGGAAAAGGCUUUUGCUAAUGCUGAUG